This 97-nucleotide ribosomal RNA is filed under the name Gilliamella apis. RNAcentral describes it as "partial 16S ribosomal RNA". It matches the Rfam family "Bacterial small subunit ribosomal RNA", at positions 1 to 92 of the family's 1533-position model. The record is from RNAcentral. Lineage: Bacteria; Pseudomonadati; Pseudomonadota; Gammaproteobacteria; Orbales; Orbaceae.
UUAAAUUGAAGAGUUUGAUCAUGGCUCAGAUUGAACGCUGGCGGCAGGCUUAACACAUGCAAGUCGAACGGUAACAUGAGUGCUUGCACUUGAUGAC